GAGCCCGUGGCUCAACGGUAGAGCGUUCGACUCAAAUACCAAAGGUCGCGGGUUCG
RNAcentral lists this transfer RNA (56 nucleotides) under Schistocephalus solidus. It matches the Rfam family "tRNA", at positions 1 to 55 of the family's 71-position model. Rfam says of the family: Transfer RNA (tRNA) molecules are approximately 80 nucleotides in length. Their secondary structure includes four short double-helical elements and three loops (D, anti-codon, and T loops). The record is from Rfam by way of RNAcentral. Lineage: Eukaryota; Metazoa; Platyhelminthes; Cestoda; Diphyllobothriidea; Diphyllobothriidae.